AUCCUCACAUUCUUUCAUAUCCCAUCCAAAUUAAUAUUAAUUGGAGCCUACAAAAUAUGGCAAACACAAAAGCUUUUCUUAUUGUCAUCCUCUUUGCUGCAAUUCUUAUCAGUUCCUAUGAGGUCUCAGCUCGUGAGCUCGCUGACCCUCACUCGACUAGACAAACUCAGUCUGUGGAGGAGUCAAAGCAGUCGUAUACAGGAGGAGGUUAUGGUAACCCAGGAGGAGGUUAUGGUGAUCCAAACCCACCCUCGAGACAAAAGCGUAACUAAAUGAUACGCUGUGCGUGAAAUAUAUGAAAGGUUUAGCAUAACAAAAUAUAUAGUCAUAUAUAUUUGUGUGUACCGAUAUGAAAUAAAUAGAUUGGGAGUGAACAAAAAUUAUGGUUUGAUUAUUUUCAUGAGUUAAUUGAGUUGGUGCUGUGUUCGUCCCAACUUAACUAUCAUGUAUAAUUUGAUCCUAUAAUAUAGACUUUCCGGGUUAUAUAUUCUAUGUAAUUCCCCUUUUUUCUUUAUUUUAGUUGACAACUUUGAAUUUGUAUUAAUUAAGUUGGUGCAUAUAUCAAUAUAUCAUACUUUCUCUA
This is a long non-coding RNA of Chenopodium quinoa (quinoa), 583 nucleotides long. RefSeq lists it as uncharacterized. The transcript has 2 exons. Lineage: Eukaryota; Viridiplantae; Streptophyta; Magnoliopsida; Caryophyllales; Amaranthaceae. The record is from RefSeq and is a predicted model, not a curated record.